UACGUAGGUUGCAAGCGUUGUCCGGAUUUAUUGGGUUUAAAGCGUGCGUAGGCGGCUUUGUAAGUCAGUGGUGAAAUAUGGCAGCUCAACUGUCAAGGUGCCAUUGAUACUGCAGAGCUUGAGUACAGAUGAGGUAGGCGGAAUUGACGGUGUAGCGGUGAAAUGCUUAGAUAUCGUCAAGAACACCGAUAGCGAAGGCAGCUUACUAGGCUGUAACUGACGCUGAGGCACGAAAGUGUGGGGAGCAAACAGG
This 253-nucleotide ribosomal RNA is filed under the name uncultured bacterium. RNAcentral describes it as "partial 16S ribosomal RNA". It matches the Rfam family "Bacterial small subunit ribosomal RNA", at positions 524 to 776 of the family's 1533-position model. The record is from RNAcentral.